AAAAAAAGAGAACACAAAGUGAUUUUUGCAAAAUGGCUAUUAAUAAUGUUGCUACAAAGUUGUUUUUGUGCAUUUUUUUUGUGGCUUCACUUUCUGCUAGUACCUUAGGUAUCAAAAUUUGUUUUAAAACUUAAUUACAUUGUUGUUUUAUCAUGAGAUAGUUAUAGUAAUCAACUCUAAAUUUUGAUUUUCAUGCUUAAAUUUGAAGUAACAAAAAAUGUUUCCCAACAUUAUUAUUACACUUUUUUCUAAAACUUUUUUUUCCUUUCGCAUAUAAAGUAUUCUUGUGUUCGGAUGGUAUGAUCUAAUCAUUUUUUGUUAUUAAAUUAUGAUCUAAUUAUUGAUUGAUUAAUUGUUACCGAUAAUCUAUUGAAUUCUUGGUCGCUCAUGUAUUAAAUUAUAAACUAAAUAAUACUGCUUUUGUUUCAAAUUUCAUUUUAUAAUAAAAAUCGGGUGCACUUGUUUGAACUCUUUUUCUAAAAUAAAUAAAAAGAUCAUGAGAUAGAUCAUAGAUUUCUUAUACAAAGAUUUCAGUUAUUUUUAAAUAUUCAUACAAAUAUACUAUUGUUAUCAUAUUACAUUCAAAUGCACAUUUCGAUUUAGAUAGAAAUUCUAAUGGAUUUGUUGUGUUUAUUAUUACCGCAGACGCAAGAGGUGGAAUAAUGUAUAGGACUAUUAAUGAUGCAGUAAUGUUUUGCAUUCAAGGACAAUGUCAUGCUGAAACUUGCAACAAAUUAUGUGGAUCUAAGAGUUUUGCAUAUGGUCGUUGUACGGGUCCAAGAGGUUGCUGCUGCUAUUAAUUAGAGCUAUAUUUCUUCUAAAUCACAGGAAAAAAUAAUUAAUAGAUUAAGUGAAGUGUUAUUCUUAUUGUGUUUGAUUAUGUGUAUCUGGAACAAACAUAUCUUUAUGUAUUCCAUAAAAAAAUAAGUGGG
This 932-nucleotide long non-coding RNA is filed under the name Arachis ipaensis. RNAcentral's name for it is "long non-coding RNA (AIPA_LNC002428)". Lineage: Eukaryota; Viridiplantae; Streptophyta; Magnoliopsida; Fabales; Fabaceae. The record is from RNAcentral.